GACAGAGGUGCCGAGCGUUAGGCGGAAUCACUGGGCUUAAAGCGUGUGUAGGCGGAUCUGUAAGUACCUUGUGAAAUCCCACGGCUCAACCGUGGAACUGCUUGGUAUACUGCGGAUCUUGAGCCACCUAGGGGCGAGCGGAACAAGUGGUGGAGCGGUGAAAUGCGUAGAGAUCGGGAGGAACACCAGUGGCGAAGGCGGCUACCUGGACCAGCACUGACACUGAGGCACGAAAGCGUGGGGAGCAAACAGG
Molecule: ribosomal RNA, 253 nt
Filed under: uncultured bacterium
Lineage: Bacteria
Description: partial 16S ribosomal RNA
Rfam family: Bacterial small subunit ribosomal RNA
Source: RNAcentral